Molecule: long non-coding RNA, 681 nt
Filed under: Marmota monax (woodchuck)
Lineage: Eukaryota; Metazoa; Chordata; Mammalia; Rodentia; Sciuridae
Source: RNAcentral
AGGGACCUGAGAGAGGGUGGGCUGCCAUGCCAGUCUCUGAUUCUGCUGCAACCGCGUUCCUCUUUAGCAGACCUACCUGGCGGGCCUCCUUGGCCUUCUGGAGCUUACUUGGAACUGAACUUGGACACCAGCAACUUUUUUCCAUAGUUGCCUGGGUGCAGCAGCAGCUUCGAUGCUUGCAGGGAAGACAGAAGCUCUGAGAUUGCCAGAGAGGCAGCGAGGCAGGCAGAAGAAAACAGCCCAUCCAACAGCCCUGGACUUGGAGGACUUUGCUGUGUCACUUUGUAGCUGGAGGCCCUGGAGCAAGUCACCAACUCUCUGAAACUCAGUGUGCUCAUCUGCAGGCUGGGAAUAAGAUUGCCUCUCCUUCAUAUCUUUACAUCAGACCUACAAGAGAUAAUGCAUGUGCAAGUGUUUGGUUAAAUCAUAAAGUGACAAAUAUUAGUAUACCUGUCAGCUCCCGGAGGGCGGGGACGGUCUUGUUUAUCUGCAAAUUCCUCUGCGAUGUCUGGUUUAUUGGACAGGAAAGUAAAUGUGGUGACUUUCUGGAAGUUUCCAUUUUGCCCCACUGGUGAUCUGUGUGAUGAAGUAUAUACUAAGGCUCUGGUGUGAUAGUUUGUUAGGACUACCAUGACAAAGUACCAUAGAUUGCGUGUUUUACACAACAGAAGUAUAUUCAGG